RNAcentral lists this transfer RNA (74 nucleotides) under Candidatus Scatousia excrementipullorum. RNAcentral describes it as "tRNA-Arg". It matches the Rfam family "tRNA". Rfam says of the family: Transfer RNA (tRNA) molecules are approximately 80 nucleotides in length. Their secondary structure includes four short double-helical elements and three loops (D, anti-codon, and T loops). The record is from RNAcentral.
GGCUUUGUAGCUCAGUAGGAUAGAGCGACGGUUUCCUAAACCGGUGGUCGCGGGUUCGACUCCCGCCAAGGCCA